Molecule: non-coding RNA, 29 nt
Filed under: Homo sapiens (human)
Lineage: Eukaryota; Metazoa; Chordata; Mammalia; Primates; Hominidae
Source: RNAcentral
UUACACUAACUCUGAAGGGCUAUACUCUC